UGGCUCUCGCAUCGAUGAAGAACGCAGCGAAAUGCGAUAAGUAAUGUGAAUUGCAGAAUUCAGUGAAUCAUCGAAUCUUUGAACGCACCUUGCGCUCCUUGGUAUUCCGAGGAGCAUGCCUGUUUGAGUGUCAUGAAUAUCUUCAACCUCUAGCUUUCAAUGUAUUUAUGCAUGAAGCUGGUUAGGCUUGGAUUGUGGGAGGUUUUGCUGGUCUUUUUGGUCUGGCUCUCCUUAAAAACAUUAGCAAAGAUCAUUUGUUGGCAUUGGGUCUGGGUAUGAUAACUAGUGUUGUAUAAAUACCAUUGAGGCGCCAAGUCAUGAAAUUUUUUUUCUUUGCUUCUAAUUCUCUCCUUCAAAGAGAGAAGAACAAUUCUAUGAAAUUUGACCUCAAAUCAGGUAGGACUACCCGCUGA
This 413-nucleotide unclassified non-coding RNA is filed under the name uncultured fungus. Its description in RNAcentral is "partial contains 5.8S ribosomal RNA and internal transcribed spacer 2". The stretch from base 1 to 133 matches the Rfam family "5.8S ribosomal RNA", at positions 22 to 154 of the family's 154-position model. Lineage: Eukaryota; Fungi. The record is from RNAcentral.